This 109-nucleotide transfer RNA is filed under the name Nitrososphaeria archaeon. RNAcentral's name for it is "tRNA-Leu". It matches the Rfam family "tRNA". From Rfam's summary of the family: Transfer RNA (tRNA) molecules are approximately 80 nucleotides in length. Their secondary structure includes four short double-helical elements and three loops (D, anti-codon, and T loops). The record is from RNAcentral. Lineage: Archaea; Thermoproteati; Nitrososphaerota; Nitrososphaeria.
GCGGGGGUUGCAGAGCUUGGCCAAACCAUGCGCAACAGGGACUAUAUGCGCGGGACUCAAGAUCCCGUCCCGAAGGGGUUCGUGGGUUCGAAUCCCACCCCCCGCACCA